Molecule: non-coding RNA, 1057 nt
Organism: Xyrichtys novacula (pearly razorfish)
Lineage: Eukaryota; Metazoa; Chordata; Actinopteri; Labriformes; Labridae
Source: the annotation of a GenBank genome assembly
AAGUGCAGAUGCAGUCUUAAAUCACUGACAAAAGCAACCAUGGUUUCUGUUAAAUGUUGUGAUGCAACUCAUUUCCUAAUUGUUAAUCUAAUUGCUAAUCCUAAUUCAAGAGAUUCUAAUGACAGACCAACUGACAUGUCCAGAGGUAAGAAAACACUCAAAUAACAGUGAAAAUUUAACAAAAUUUAUUUGUGUAGUUUGUAUGCGAUCACAGAGUCUGUCAGUAUGUUUACAUGCAUAGUUAAGUCAGGCUAUGGUUAUAGCUCAAAUAGACUCAUUUUAUCUGAACUGUCAUUGUCCCAGUCUGCAAACACACAAUCAAUUUCUCAACAAAAUUUUGUCGGUCUCCACCAUAAAAGGUCACAAUAUGCCCCCUUUCAGCUUGUAACUAUUGGGCCCUCUUAUCGUGACCUUUUUUAAGUCACGUGCCAAAACAAUCAACAAACACAUUAGUAAGAUGCUAGUGGGAGGUAUGGUGUAUUGAAACAGACAAUUUUAUAGCUCUGUGCCUUUUGUAUGUGUGAUACAUAAGCCUUCCUGUUAUGUGUUUUUUUUUUUCGUGUUAUUUUCAUAUGCAAAUAGGUGUGUGCCACAGCCGCACGGUCAUUGGUGGAAUGGCUCUACGUCCUGGACAGUGAUUGGAUGAAACCGACAACCACCUGGUAUAUGAGGAGCCAAGAUGGCGGCCGCCGGUGGGGGGGGCUGCAGGCAUUCCUCAUCCUCCUCAUCCUCCUCCUCUCCCAACCGGCCACACUUUUUGCUGUGCUUAAACCAUUGUGUGUUUUGUAGUAGUAGAUUUUGAGUAGUAAGGGUGGGCUGCCAGUUUUGUUAACCUUGUUUUCUCCUGUUUAUUUAGUUAGGGAGGUAAGUCUUUUGUCAUUUGUUUCCUUUGUUUGGUUAGGUUAGUUACUUACUCUGUAGACAGGAUCAUUUUGUUUGUUAUUUUGGCCUUAGUCCACCCUGAAGCCUAACAACUCAGCCUUAGUUACUUUUCUAUAUCUACAUGUUCAUUUACUUAUUUAUGUAAAUAAAUCAUUUUCUUUAUAUUGAAACAAAA